Molecule: ribosomal RNA, 487 nt
Filed under: uncultured Oscillospiraceae bacterium
Lineage: Bacteria; Bacillati; Bacillota; Clostridia; Eubacteriales; Oscillospiraceae
Description: bacterial SSU rRNA
Rfam family: Bacterial small subunit ribosomal RNA
Source: RNAcentral
CUAGGCGGCGUCGGCUUUAACAACAUAGCGAAAGUCGAACGAGGAACCGAAUUGGAUCGAGGAGUUACGUCCAAGUGAAGGUGGGGAAAGGUGGCGACGGGUGAGGUAACGCGUGAGCAAUCUGCCUUGGAGUGGGGAUAACGGCUGGAAACAGCCGCUAAUACCGCAUGAUACAGCUGGGAGGCAUCUCCCUGGCUGUCAAAGAUUUAUCGCUCUGAGAUGAGCUCGCGUCUGAUUAGCUAGUUGGCGGGGUAACGGCCCACCAAGGCGACGAUCAGUAGCCGGACUGAGAGGUUGGCCGGCCACAUUGGGACUGAGACACGGCCCAGACUCCUACGGGAGGCAGCAGUGGGGAAUAUUGGGCAAUGGGCGCAAGCCUGACCCAGCAACGCCGCGCGAAGGAAGAAGGCUUUCGGGUUGUAAACUUCUUUUGUCAGGGACGAAGCAAGUGACGGUACCUGGCGAAUAAGCCACGGCUAACUACGUG